GAAUGCCAAGGUGUGUCACUGGUGCUAGUCCCACAACUAGGAAAAAGAAAGUCAGAUUGCAAAACCAGCAUUGCCUGCCUUUACCUGGUAGCCCCUGCUGCCUUCCAGGCCCGCAGUUUCUCUGGGUCUCCUCCUUGGUGAGAUUUCUGGACACCUGCAGGCACUAAUAGUUUCCAGUUUGAGUGCUCACAUAAACUCCUUACAGGUAUCUGUUAACACAGUCUCAUGGUAUUAUCAUUAUGUGUAUGUACGUUUCGUAAUAGAGCUAUUUAUUUCUAUAUUCCUAGUGACCCUUCCAAGAGCUCCUUCUGGUUUGGAAAAGGUGGGAUAGACCAUCUGGCCUUCCCUAGUGAGGACCUGGAUUGCUGGUGGUGGUGGUAUGGGGUUGGCAGGCAAAGCCAUCUUGAAGGAGGCAGCUUCAGCAUCAGCCUCCAUUGUGUGAUUCCAGGCAAAUAGCUCAGUCCCAUUAACAAGGGGCAAAUCCUCUUCCUGAGUCGGGGAGAAAGGUUUAAACAUACAACGAGAGAGAACUGUUGCUUUAAGUAGCCUUGACAAGGGGCAUUAGAUCCUCUCUAAGGUUCUGUCCAGCUCAAUGAUUCUAGAAUCUUCAUUAUCUUGAGCUGAAGAUGGUUGGAAGCUGGGCUGAAAAACCUCAGCAGAGAGGAGAAAAGAGGGGAAAAUGAGAUGGUUUAUAAAAUAAGCAUGGGAGAGGAAAUCAGAGGAAAGAGGCUAUAAUUAUAGGUCAAACACCAGCUCCGGAAGCAGCGAAGGCAGCAGAGAGUUUAUGGCUCCCUGCCCUCUUCCGGGUUGCACCCUGGACAUCUCCUCGCUCUUUCCUCGGGCCGAGCAACUUUGGGAUGCGGGCAAAGCAAUUGAAGAAAUGGAAAAAUAAAGACGUUUAGUAGCGUGCCCAAGCCAGUCAGAGAAAUCUGUUCUAUGCUGCCUGGGCUUCUAUGUGCCUAGAAAAAGAAGAAAGUGAGACCCAUCUGAGACACCAGAGAGGUACUCUCCUAGUAUCCAGGGUGAGAAGUACAUUAGCCUGAGUCCCUGGUUUGUCAAACAUUGGACACUUCGUUGACAACUGACUUUGUCACCUGGAACUUCAUGAAGUCGAUUUCCCUGAGUGUCUAAGUUUCCUUCUUUUACAUCAACAAUCUAGCCUUCAUUUUCUUUUGCAUGUGCCAAAGUACAUACAGUAGGUGGGAAAGAGCCAGAGAUGUGUAUAACGUACUCCAUUUUUUCAAGUGUUUAUGGUUGUAAAUAAAAUUACUUUUAAGUCUCCA
RNAcentral lists this long non-coding RNA (1283 nucleotides) under Equus asinus (donkey). RNAcentral's name for it is "lncRNA (ENSEASG00005031106.1)". The record is from RNAcentral. Lineage: Eukaryota; Metazoa; Chordata; Mammalia; Perissodactyla; Equidae.